GAUGAACGCUGGCGGCGUGCCUAAUACAUGCAAGUCGAGCGAACAGACGAGGAGCUUGCUCCUCUGACGUUAGCGGCGGACGGGUGAGUAACACGUGGAUAACCUACCUAUAAGACUGGGAUAACUUCGGGAAACCGGAUCUAAUACCGGAUAAUAUAUUGAACCGCAUGGUUCAAUAGUGAAUGACGGUUUUGCUGUCACUAAUAGAUGGAUCCGCGCCGCAUUAGCUAGUUGGUAAGGUAACGGCUUACCAAGGCAACGAUGCGUAGCCGACCUGAGAGGGUGAUCGGCCACACUGGAACUGAGACACGGUCCAGACUCCUACGGGAGGCAGCAGUAGGGAAUAUUCCGCAAUGGGCGAAAGCCUGACGGAGCAACGCCGCGUGAGUGAAGAAGGUCUUCGGAUCGUAAAACUCUGUUAUUAGGGAAGAACAAAUGUGGAAGUAACUAUGCACGUCUUGACGGUACCUAAUCAGAAAGCCACGGCUAACUACGUG
Molecule: ribosomal RNA, 497 nt
Filed under: uncultured bacterium
Lineage: Bacteria
Description: partial 16S ribosomal RNA
Rfam family: Bacterial small subunit ribosomal RNA
Source: RNAcentral